Molecule: long non-coding RNA, 2596 nt
Organism: Pan troglodytes (chimpanzee)
Lineage: Eukaryota; Metazoa; Chordata; Mammalia; Primates; Hominidae
Exons: 4
Source: RefSeq, a predicted model, not a curated record
GUAGCCCGAUGGGCCGGCGUGGCGAGCAGGAGCCGCGCCGGCCCGCGAGGGAACUUCCAGCCAAUGGGAGAGCGGCACGGCAGCGCCCGCCGGACGCUGGACACAGACGUGACCCCAGACCGCCUGGCCUUGGGUAGAUCGGGUCUCUGGGCAGAGCGUGUGUCCGGCAGAGCUAGGACCGGAAAAAGCCACUCUAGGUCUAGGUUAGGAGUGAUGACAGUUAAAAGAUAUAUAAGGAAAAGAAGGAAAGGAUCGUUUCUGUACAAAAGGAGCUAUUUUUGCAUAUCGAGCGCAUAAGUUUUAUAACUUAGGUGUCUGUUUAUGGAGAGGGUGGGAUACUACCUUUUAGCUCAAGGAGUGCACAAAACGGUAUCAUGAAUUCUGCUCUUUUGAUUCAAACACCCAACUUUGAAGAAUCGCUCAUGGUGCUUGUAAAACACAUAUCCCCAGAUCCCUCCCUAGACCUAUCGAACAACUCCAACGGUCUCGGGAAUGUGCGUGGUUUCUGAAAAGCUUGGGAAGCAAGACCUGACUAGACCCCCAAAUCUGAUAAUGGCUGAAUGGCCGACCAAUGGAGUGCAUAAGAAGUCUGGAUACAAAGGCAGCCCAAUUUCUAGAAAUGUAUACCAGCCAUGAAGAGAUAAAGCUCCAAGAGGAGAUUUCUCUUUCUGGUAUAAGGUUAAAAGGACUUCUGACUCAAACUCUGCCUCUUGAGUUCACAGUUCACCAUUUCCACCCUGGUGACUUGGUGCUGAUUAAGACUUGUUAAGAAGACAAGCUCCACCCAACCUGAGAAGGUCCCUAUGAAGUGCUCCUGACCACUAAGAUGGCCGUGCAAACGGCUGAACAGGGGUGGACUCACUGUACUCAAGUCAAGGGACUGGUAAAAGAGACCUCGGAAGGGAAGGAACAAGACCAGUGGAAAGUGCAUGGGUCACCUGUGCUACGGGAGGACCUCAGGCACAGGUGGUUCCAUUUCCCCUAGGAUGGGAUGCUGAUCCUGAAGAAACGGAUUGCAUGUUGGCUCUAUACCAGGACAAGGAUGCAUGGGGAAACAAGACUUGUAAAGAGUCUGUCACUGCUCUUUCCCACAUUGCAGAGGUCAGAUCCCAAAGCAAUCCCCUCAUUCUCUCUAGGGAAUAUGAACCACUCCUCUUGCCUCUCUAGAUAGGGGGCAGAGUUCAAUAAGCCCGUGGGAAAACUCUCAACUUGUACGCACAUCCUAAACAUCACUGGUAAGUCAGGCGAUGGCAAUCACUCGGCUCUCCAUAUACCCCAGGCUAACGUCUGGUGGUACUGUGGGAAAAGGAACCUCCCCAACUUGUUACCAUCCAACUGGACCGGGACUUGUGCUUUAGUCUAAUUGGCCAUUCCCUUCACCCUGGCAUUCCAUAAGAUACCUGAAAACACACACGGCCACUGAAAGCAGAGAGAUUUGACAAACUCUUUUAAUGUCAAUAUAUAUGUUGACUCAAUAGGAGUCCCUAGGGGAGUGCCGAAUAAAUUUAAGGCCCAAAACCACAUAGCUGCUGGGUUUGAGUCAGCACUCUUCUGUGGUCAACUAUUAAUAAGAAUGUGAACUAGAUUAACUACAUCUAUUAUAAUCAACAAAGAUUCAUCAAUUAUACUCAGGACACCCUCAAAGGGAUGGCUAGCCAGUUAGAUGCCACCAGCCCAAUGGCCUGGAAAAACAGGCUUGCACUAGACGUAAUACCAGAAAAAGGGGGUGUAAGUGUUAUGCUGGGUGGGAAACGUUAUACUUUCAUUCCCAACAAUACUGCCCCAGAUGGGACCAUCACAAAAGCUUUACAAGGACUGACAACUCUAGCCAACGAACAGGCAGAAAAUGCUGGAAUUAACAACCCAUUUACGGGUUGGCUAAAUGGUUGGUUUGGAAAAUGGAAAGGCAUGGUGGCUUCAAUCCUUACAUCUCUCAUAAUUGUAGCAGGAGUCUUAGCAGUGGGAUGUAGUAUUACUUGUGUGUGAGGGGACUAGCACAGAGAUUAAUUAAAAGAGCUAUUAAUAAACAAUGCCAAUAAGUUACCAGCAAAAUAACCUGCUACUAUUAGAAACCAAAAUAAACUCACUCUCCUAUAAGGAAGAAAGUAAACGACUUCUAAAGCAAUUUGAGGAACAAAAGGGUUUAGAUGAAAAUGAGACCAAAGGAAGUAAAUAGAAAAGGAAGGAAAUUUGUGAGAAAACAUUUUAAGUGGUCCAUUUUCAAGGCAUAAUAAAUCUAAGUACUGGAAGCCAGCCUGUGGAUGUAACAAACCACACAGCUCAUGCACCCAGAAGGUCAUGAUAAGUGAACAGAAUGUAGAGGAGGGGUCAGCCCCUAAAAGGGGAGAAAGUUUCAUUAAUGGGAAAUCAAAACUGAAGUGGGGAAAGGGACCAGGGUAUAACCUUAUAAGGGGGAUAAUAAAACUUAGGCAAUGUCCAGGAAGAUUGUAACCCCAUAGUACUCAACCAAUGAGGAGCUGGGGGAGGGACUUGCGUGCUAGGAGAUAAAUUACCUGUUGUAACUGUCCCCGGUGUGACUGCCUACCAGACACCAGAUCUUGCAAGACCGCCAAUAAAAGUCUUGCUUCCGCUGUUC